This is a long non-coding RNA of Alligator mississippiensis (American alligator), 1696 nucleotides long. RefSeq lists it as uncharacterized. The transcript is spliced from 2 exons. The record is from RefSeq and is a predicted model, not a curated record. Lineage: Eukaryota; Metazoa; Chordata; Crocodylia; Alligatoridae.
AUAUUUCUCUUAAAAAAUCCUGACUUAAAGGGCUCCUUUUAGUAAUGGAAGUUCCCAAACAAUCAGGAUAUUCUUCCCAUUUAUGUGCUGUCUGAACAUGAAAAAGUAGGAACACAGGACUCCUCUUGUCCCUUCCUCUCCUGGAGAGACGCUUACCAUUUAGAAGAGGAUAAUCUUGAUGUUUUGCACAGCUGUAUGGAGUUUUGCUAAUAAAUCUUUGGGGAGUUCCAGAUAGAACGUGCUAUAUUUAGCCUGACACUUCAGUUAAAUACUCAAUUAUCUGUAAUUUGAUUCCACAACUUCUUGUCUCUGUGGAUUCUCCCUGUGUUAGCUAGGUUGGCAAGGAAUAAGGUAUUACUAAUAGCACGCUGGUAAGUCAGCAUAUCCCGGUGUAAUAAAAGGCAGUGGGCCAAACUCACGAGUGAGUAAAUAAAUGUAUGCCUUGCCCAGAACUGGAGAACGAACCACAACCAGGAUCACACAUCUGUCACAUUAGCAUCUCCAGUCAUGUUAAUUUACUUGACUUAAUUCACAAUUCACAAGCCAUUCGCUCAAGUUACAACAGGGGGGGGAAAAAACCUAAAGCAUCCACACAUCCAAGACAUGCAGUUUUUUCACCUUGAUGACUCGACAUCACUCUCCUCCACUUCACUAGUGUGAUCACAGGUUCAUUAGCGCCUCUUUUCUCCCAUGGGAUAGUAUUUUUACUACCCCUAGCACCUAGGAGCCCCAGGCACAAACCAAGACAGAGCAGGGGAGAACAAGUUGCACAUCUCCAGAACAUGGACAGUGUCUUGGAGAUUGCUCCCCAGGAAGUGAGAAAUGCAGCCCAAAAGACCUGGUAGGUAGCUAGAUGGUACUGGCUAAAAAUAUUACUAUUCCUAAAACACGGGGCUGCUCACAGCAGCCUGCAGCAGUGUCACUCUGCUGCCAACACAGCCUGAAUAUGCAUAAGAAGCGACUCUUAGUAUAAUUUUGUUUUUGAAGCCCAUUCUUUGAAUUCAUUUUAAGAUAUCCUUUGCCCUGCCGCUGCAGCUCACCUGGUUUGCUUUUACAGAGAUGGACUGCAGCAAAAGCAUCACUAUAGAUGUGAUCUGAGACUAACCUGAGGUUCAAUCCAUCUUCACUGUGGCAGGAUGAUAAUCAUAUGUAACAUCCCUCCAGUAAAAAAGGAAACUUAUGAGCUAUAGAAAUGUAUACUUCCAUAGACACAGCGCAACUGGAUUUGAUAUCAUUGGCAAGUCAGUGCUUGGCUUGCAAAGAGUCACGGAUGUUUUUUCUCUUGAUCCAGAGAGGCCAGAAGGGGCUGUUACUGCCAUUUGGUCUGACCUUCUGUAUAACACAAGCCAUGGAACCACACCCAGGAAUCUCUGCAGCUACAUCCAUAACGUCCAGUUGUGCUACAGAAAGAUAUCCAGUCUGCGGUGAAAGAUUUCAAGUGACUGAGAAUCCACUGCAUCCACAGAGCAGUUCCCCUCAAUGUUAAAAAAUGCAUGCCUCCAACUGUCUGAGGAUCCUGCUGCACUGUAUUCUUCGUUUCAUUAUUUUUUUCAAAAGGACUAUUUGCACACUCUAGAAAUAUUGUGGAUAAUGUAAGCAGAGAAAAGGUGAGGGAUAGGUCUUUCAUAGAAACCCGUUUAUUUAAAAGUUUGUAUACAAUAAUGUAAAUAUAAAAUAUAUAUUACAAAAUUAAAAA